UGGGGAAUAUUGCGCAAUGGGCGAAAGCCUGACGCAGCGACGCCGCGUGUGGGAUGACGGCCUUCGGGUUGUAACCCACUGUCGGGAGGGACGAAUGCGCCGCAAGGCGAGUGACGGUACCUCCAAAGGAAGCACCGGCUAACUCCGUGCCAGCAGCCGCGGUAAUACGGAGGGUGCGAGCGUUGUCCGGAAUCACUGGGCGUAAAGGGCGCGUAGGCGGCCUGAUAAGUAGGGGGUGAAAUCCUGCGGCUUAACCGCAGGGCUGCCUUCUAAACUGUCGGGCUAGAGCACGGUAGAGGCAGAUGGAAUUCCCGGUGUAGCGGUGGAAUGCGUAGAGAUCGGGAAGAACAUCAGUGGCGAAGGCGGUCUGCUGGGCCGUUGCUGACGCUGAGGCGCGACAGCGUGGGGAGCAAACAGGAUUAGAUACCCUGGUAGUCCACGCCGUAAACGAUGGACACUAGGCGUCGGGGGGAGCGACCCUCCCGGUGCCGUCGCUAACGCAGUAAGUGUCCCGCCUGGGGAGUACGGCCGCAAGGCUGA
RNAcentral lists this ribosomal RNA (540 nucleotides) under uncultured bacterium. Its description in RNAcentral is "bacterial SSU rRNA". It matches the Rfam family "Bacterial small subunit ribosomal RNA", at positions 355 to 897 of the family's 1533-position model. The record is from RNAcentral.